GUGGCUGUAGCUCAAUUGGUUAGAGCACUAGACUGUGGCUCUAGUGGUUGCGGGUUCGAAUCCCGUCAGCCACCCCA
This 77-nucleotide transfer RNA is filed under the name Candidatus Omnitrophota bacterium. RNAcentral's name for it is "Candidatus Omnitrophica bacterium tRNA-His". It matches the Rfam family "tRNA". Rfam says of the family: Transfer RNA (tRNA) molecules are approximately 80 nucleotides in length. Lineage: Bacteria; Pseudomonadati; Candidatus Omnitrophota. The record is from RNAcentral. RNAcentral also lists the same sequence under 1 other name.